AUUGAACGCUGGCGGCACGCCUAACACAUGCAAGUCGAGCGGCAGCGAGGUUAGUAGCAAUACUAACUGUCGGCGAGCGGCGGACGGGUGAGGAACACGUAGGAACCUGUCCUUAAGAGGGGGACAACCAAGGGAAACUUUGGCUAAUACCGCAUAGACUCGAAAGAGGAAAGCUGCUCGCAAGGGUGGCACUUAAGGAGGGGCCUGCGUCCGAUUAGCUAGUUGGGAAGGUAAAGGCUUACCAAGGCGAUGAUCGGUAACUGGUCUGAGAGGACGACCAGUCACACGGGGACUGAGACACUGCCCAGACUCCUACGGGAGGCAGCAGUGGGGAAUAUUGGACAAUGGGGGCAACCCAGAUCCGGCGAUGCCGCGUGGGUGAAGAAGGCCUUCGGGUUGUAAAGCCCUUUAGGUUGGGAAGAAGGGUGUUGUAGGAAAUGACAACAUUUUGACGGUACCGACAGAAUAAGCACCGGCAAACUCUGUGCCAGCCGCCGCAGUAA
Molecule: ribosomal RNA, 503 nt
Filed under: uncultured bacterium
Lineage: Bacteria
Description: partial 16S ribosomal RNA
Rfam family: Bacterial small subunit ribosomal RNA
Source: RNAcentral